This 277-nucleotide long non-coding RNA is filed under the name Homo sapiens (human). Its description in RNAcentral is "HSALNT0333939". Lineage: Eukaryota; Metazoa; Chordata; Mammalia; Primates; Hominidae. The record is from RNAcentral.
CUGGAGCCACAGAUGAGAAAACUGAAGUACAGAGAUUAGAAACUUGCUCAAUGUCACAAAUCUAAUGGUACAGAUGGAGACACAGACUCAAAGAGGUGAUUGGUCCACAGCAACGUGCUGGAAACAAAGGAUCCACCCCAGCCACUCCUCCUAAGGGCAGAGCCUAGAUCCCUGAGUAACUGCUUGGAGGAGAGCCACUCAAGAGAGCUGACUGUCUAGCCUGGUCAACACAGGGAGACCCCAUCUCUACAAAAAAUACAAAAAUUCGCCGGGUGAG